UGCCAAAGGAGAAUUACCCUG
This 21-nucleotide microRNA is filed under the name Brachypodium distachyon (stiff brome). RNAcentral describes it as "bdi-miR399a". Its record names the gene bdi-miR399a. The record is from miRBase by way of RNAcentral. Lineage: Eukaryota; Viridiplantae; Streptophyta; Magnoliopsida; Poales; Poaceae.